CCCGCCGACAAGCUCGCCAGGUGUACGGUGUUUCCUCAGACAUUGGUGCGGCUGGCUUCCGGGUUGGAUGUGCAUUGUGUCAAAAAGCAGUGCGGCUUGGUUGGGUUGUGUUUCGGAGGACGCACGGCUCUCGACCUUCGCCUCUCCCGUGUCCGUACGGGAGUUGCAGCGAUGAGACAAGACAGUAACUACUACCAAUUGGAUACCACGAAAUUGAUCAUAUUGAGAUGAGCACUCCUUUUCCAAUGAGACCUGAGUAUAUAAUGAAAAGCAAUGAAUGCUCACCGAAACAACAUGAGAAGUAAUUAACCUACAGAUUACAGAUGAAGACAAACCAAAUCAAUAUCGGACGUCUGAGACAUUGAAAUAUAUGGCGGUAAUGCCGGACAACAACAAAAAAGUAUUACAAACUACAAGGAAAUGUAAUGUAUAAGUUAAGUUAUAUUUUAACAGGAG
RNAcentral lists this long non-coding RNA (456 nucleotides) under Salmo salar (Atlantic salmon). RNAcentral describes it as "lncRNA (ENSSSAG00000097773.1)". Lineage: Eukaryota; Metazoa; Chordata; Actinopteri; Salmoniformes; Salmonidae. The record is from RNAcentral.